Molecule: ribosomal RNA, 614 nt
Filed under: Marinobacter sp.
Lineage: Bacteria; Pseudomonadati; Pseudomonadota; Gammaproteobacteria; Pseudomonadales; Marinobacteraceae
Description: bacterial SSU rRNA
Rfam family: Bacterial small subunit ribosomal RNA
Source: RNAcentral
CAUGCAGUCGAGCGGAACGAUGAUAGCUUGCUAUCAGGCGUCGAGCGGCGGACGGGUGAGUAAUGCUUAGGAAUCUGCCCAGUAGUGGGGGACAACAGUCGGAAACGGCUGCUAAUACCGCAUACGCCCUACGGGGGAAAGCAGGGGAUCUUCGGACCUUGCGCUAUUGGAUGAGCCUAAGUCGGAUUAGCUAGUUGGUGAGGUAAAGGCUCACCAAGGCGACGAUCCGUAGCUGGUUUGAGAGGAUGAUCAGCCACAUCGGGACUGAGACACGGCCCGAACUCCUACGGGAGGCAGCAGUGGGGAAUAUUGGACAAUGGGGGCAACCCUGAUCCAGCCAUGCCGCGUGUGUGAAGAAGGCUUUCGGGUUGUAAAGCACUUUCAGCGAGGAGGAAGGCUCUAAAGUUAAUACCUUUAGGGAUUGACGUUACUCGCAGAAGAAGCACCGGCUAACUCCGUGCCAUCAGCCGCGGUAAUACGGAGGGUGCAAGCGUUAAUCGGAAUUACUGGGCGUAAAGCGCGCGUAGGUGGUUUGUUAAGCGAGAUGUGAAAGCCCCGGGCUUAACCUGGGAACGGCAUUUCGAACUGGCAAGCUGGAGUGUGGUAGAGGGUAG